RNAcentral lists this ribosomal RNA (403 nucleotides) under uncultured bacterium. RNAcentral describes it as "partial 16S ribosomal RNA". It matches the Rfam family "Bacterial small subunit ribosomal RNA", at positions 28 to 526 of the family's 1533-position model. The record is from RNAcentral.
GACGAACGCUGGCGGCGUGCCUAAUACAUGCAAGUCGCACGCAGUGGGGACGGGUGAGUAACACGUGGGUAACCUCCCAUCAGAGGGGAUAACACUUGGAAACAGGUGCUAAACCGAUACUGAUGGAUGGACCCGCGGUGCAUUAGCUAGUUGGUGAGGUAACGGCUCACCAAGGCCACGAUGAAUAGCCGACCUGAGAGGGUGCUCGGCCACACUGGGACUGAGACACGGCCCAGACUCCUACGGGAGGCAGCAGUAGGGAAUAUUGCGCAAUGGGCGCAAGCCUGAUGCAGCCAUGCCGCGUGUAUGAAGAAGGUCUUCGGGUUGUAAAGUACUUUCAGCGGGGAGGCGUUACCCGCACAAGAAGCACCGGCUAACUCCGUGCCAGCAGCCGCGGUAAUAC